AAUAUUGGACAAUGGGCGCAAGCCUGAUCCAGCCAUACCGCGUGGGUGAAGAAGGCCUNCGGGUUNUNAAGCCCUUUGGUUGGGANCGAAAAGCAGUCGGUUAAUACCCGAUUGUUCUGACGGUACCCAAAGAAUAAGCCCCGGCUAACUUCGUGCCAGCAGCCGCGGUAAUACGAAGGGUGCAAGCGUUACCCGGAAUUACUGGGCGGAAAGCGUGGGUAGGUGGUUGUUUAAGUCUGUCGUGAAAGCCCUGGGCUCAACCUGGGAAUUGAGAUGGAAACUGGGCGACUAGAGUGUGGAAGAGGGUAGUGGAAUGCCUGGUGUAGCAGUGAAAUGCGUAGAGAUCAGGAGGAACAUCCGUGGCGAAGGCGACUGCCUGGGCCAACACUGACACUGAGGCACGAAAGCGUGGGGAGCAAACAGG
This 424-nucleotide ribosomal RNA is filed under the name uncultured bacterium. RNAcentral describes it as "partial 16S ribosomal RNA". It matches the Rfam family "Bacterial small subunit ribosomal RNA", at positions 360 to 776 of the family's 1533-position model. The record is from RNAcentral.